Molecule: long non-coding RNA, 773 nt
Filed under: Danio rerio (zebrafish)
Lineage: Eukaryota; Metazoa; Chordata; Actinopteri; Cypriniformes; Danionidae
Description: si:dkey-83m22.8 (ENSDARG00000093950.2)
Source: RNAcentral
UGCUUUUUGGCCUUUAGUUUGACAAGACUCUAACCGCAAAGCGUUUUUAAACAGUUUUUUUAUUACGGUCACCAUACUCACCCUUUCCUAAGGUCUUCGACAGCUUGGGACUUCUGCAAGCUGCACUAUCAUCUCGUUCAUCAGCGACAAUGAGCUCAUCUGUGGAAUCGUCUCGGCCCACCAGCAGGGAGUAAUCAAUGAUGAGGUGGCUGGACAGGAAGAGCGCGUCGCUGUGGAUGGCAGCACGCAGGAUGGCCUUGCAGUGCGAGCGAAUAUAAAGGGGAUUGUCAUGCACCAGUUUGAGCAGGUUCUCAUCUAGGAGCACCACCUCACAGCUCUCCUUUCCCUGGUCCGUCUUCACGUUCCUGUUUCUCAGCGAUCCUUUCAGGUCAAACACCUGCACAAACACCAGAUAACAUUAAAAGGUUUUCCAUCACAAGCAGGUCAAGCUUCUUCUCAGUGUUGUUCUGGGAGUUCUUGUAGCCGAUGCGGUACACUCCCAGAAUCUUAGCAAGUGCUGUGGGUCGCUGUUGCACAGAUGCAAGAACAUGUUGCCUUAUACAAAGGUUGUCUGUGUCUGCCUGGGCUAGGAGGAACAGAUAGACGUUUUCUGCCUUUCUCUUGCUGGAACAGUUCUUGAAGUCUGAAGAUGAUAAUAAAUCAGUUCUGCUGUUAUGAGACUGCCUCAACUGCCUUCAUUCCUAUAGCUGUAUGAAUCCAGUUCUCACCUGUUGUUCCAGGACUGCAGGGUUUCACACAAGCCCUGUUUUUUG